GUGGGGAAUAUUGGACAAUGGGCGAAAGCCUGAUCCAGCCAUGCCGCGUGUGUGAAGAAGGUCUUCGGAUUGUAAAGCACUUUAAGUUGGGAGGAAGGGCAGUAAGUUAAUACCUUGCUGUUUUGACGUUACCGACAGAAUAAGCACCGGCUAACUUCGUGCCAGCAGCCGCGGUAAUACGAAGGGUGCAAGCGUUAAUCGGAAUUACUGGGCGUAAAGCGCGCGUAGGUGGUUUUGUAAGUUGGAGGUGAAAUCCCCGGGCUCAACCUGGGAACUGCCUCCAAAGCUGCAUGACUAGAGUACGGUAGAGGGUAGUGGAAUUUCCUGUGUAGCGGUGAAAUGCGUAGAUAUAAGAAGGAACACCAGUGGCGAAGGCGACUACCUGGACUGAUACUGACACUGAGGUGCGAAAGCGUGGGGAGCAAACAGGAUUAGAUACCCGGGUAGUCC
RNAcentral lists this ribosomal RNA (450 nucleotides) under uncultured bacterium. Its description in RNAcentral is "partial 16S ribosomal RNA". It matches the Rfam family "Bacterial small subunit ribosomal RNA", at positions 354 to 796 of the family's 1533-position model. The record is from RNAcentral.